GCACUGCUGAGGAGUCCCAUACUUGGACGGAACGGUCGUCCAGUGC
Schistosoma curassoni is the source of this 46-nucleotide non-coding RNA. Lineage: Eukaryota; Metazoa; Platyhelminthes; Trematoda; Strigeidida; Schistosomatidae. The record is from Rfam.